AGGUUAAUACRUGAACGUAAAACCUGGUUGACUGGGSUUCGGUYUKGGAGGNUGGGGGAGGUGUGAUUGCAGGCUUGGGUAACACCGGGAAAGGGCACACGUCCAGACCGCGCUAUAAARGAUGGGACCCCUUCGGGGGACCCGCCCCAUCGGCUCUUGCUGUGUGCUUUUGACCUAUCAACUAGACGGCAGCGUAAGGGACAUGCUAUGGUG
RNAcentral lists this ribosomal RNA (213 nucleotides) under Lamproderma ovoideum. RNAcentral describes it as "partial small subunit ribosomal RNA". The record is from RNAcentral. Lineage: Eukaryota; Evosea; Eumycetozoa; Stemonitida; Stemonitidae.